AGUCAAUAGAUACCCGGGUAGUCCACGCCCUAAACGAUGCGAACUGGAUGUUGGGUGCAACUUGGCAUUCAGUAUCGAAAGCUAACGCGUUAAGUUCGCCGCCUGGGGAGUACGGUCGCAAGACUGAAACUCAAAGGAAUUGACGGGGGCCCGCACAAGCGGUGGAGUAUGUGGUUUAAUUCGAUGCAACGCGAAGAACCUUACCUGGCCUUGACAUGCACGGAACUUUCCAGAGAUGGAUUGGUGCCUUCGGGAACCGUGACACAGGUGCUGCAUGGCUGUCGUCAGCUCGUGUCGUGAGAUGUUGGGUUAAGUCCCGCAACGAGCGCAACCCUUGUCCUUAGUUGCCAGCACGUAAUGGUGGGAACUCUAAGGAGACCGCCGGUGACAAACCGGA
RNAcentral lists this ribosomal RNA (397 nucleotides) under uncultured bacterium. RNAcentral's name for it is "bacterial SSU rRNA". It matches the Rfam family "Bacterial small subunit ribosomal RNA", at positions 775 to 1167 of the family's 1533-position model. The record is from RNAcentral.